RNAcentral lists this ribosomal RNA (497 nucleotides) under uncultured bacterium. RNAcentral's name for it is "partial 16S ribosomal RNA". It matches the Rfam family "Bacterial small subunit ribosomal RNA", at positions 28 to 507 of the family's 1533-position model. The record is from RNAcentral.
GAUGAACGCUGGCGGCGUGCCUAAUACAUGCAAGUCGAGCGAACGGACGAGAAGCUUGCUUCUCUGAUGUUAGCGGCGGACGGGUGAGUAACACGUGGAUAACCUACCUAUAAGACUGGGAUAACUUCGGGAAGCCGUAGCUAAUACCGGAUAAUAUUUUGAACCGCAUGGUUCAAAAGUGAAAGACGGUCUUGCUGUCACUUAUAGAUGGAUCCGCGCUGCAUUAGCUAGUUGGUAAGGUAACGGCUUACCAAGGCAACGAUGCAUAGCCGACCUGAGAGGGUGAUCGGCCACACUGGAACUGAGACACGGUCCAGACUCCUACGGGAGGCAGCAGUAGGGAAUCUUCCGCAAUGGUCGAAAGCCUGACGGAGCAACGCCGCGUGAGUGAUGAAGGUCUUCGGAUCGUAAAACUCUGUUAUUAGGGAAGAACAUAUGUGUAAGUAACUGUGCACAUCUUGACGGUACCUAAUCAGAAAGCCACGGCUAACUACGUG